This 372-nucleotide ribosomal RNA is filed under the name uncultured organism. Its description in RNAcentral is "bacterial SSU rRNA". It matches the Rfam family "Bacterial small subunit ribosomal RNA", at positions 526 to 896 of the family's 1533-position model. The record is from RNAcentral.
CGGGGGGGGCAAGCGUUGUUCGGAAUUACUGGGCGUAAAGGGCUUGUAGGUGGCCAACUAAGUCAAACGUGGAAUCCCUCAGCUUAACUGGGGAACUGCGUCUGAUACUGGAUGGCUUGAGUUUGGGAGAGGGAUGCGGAAUUCCAGGUGUAGCGGUGAAAUGCGUAGAUAUCUGGAGGAACACCGGUGGCGAAGGCGGCAUCCUGGACCAAUACUGACACUGAAAAGCGAAAGCCAGGGGAGCAAACGGGAUUAGAUACCCCGGUAGUCCUGGCCCUAAACGAUGAAUGCUUGGUGUGGCGGGUAUCGAUCCCUGCCGUGCCGAAGCUAACGCAUUAAGCAUUCCGCCUGGGGAGUACGGUCGCAAGGCUG